This is a long non-coding RNA of Culex quinquefasciatus (southern house mosquito), 1118 nucleotides long. RefSeq lists it as uncharacterized. The record is from RefSeq and is a predicted model, not a curated record. NCBI's taxonomy places the organism in Eukaryota, Metazoa, Arthropoda, Insecta, Diptera, Culicidae. The transcript has 3 exons.
UUUGGUUGGUUUUGAAUGAGUUUGAUGAUUUUCGCACCUGGCGACGGCCACCACACUCAGGAAUGUCGCAGUUUGUCUACCUUAAAAAUAGUCUAUGCCGGGCACGUUCCGUUCCUCUCGACGACCGAGAGUGAAAGACAGAUCGAGGCACAGUCGUCUAUCAUUUGCAGCACCACUGACGUAAAAGUUUUCACUGGGAUUGCGUGAAUAGAAGUGGGAUGAAGUUGUGGCUAUGUGGGCAGGAUACGAAUUGAUUCGAUUGAAAGCUCAACUGGUGUUGGAAUUUCGUAAUAUUUAUUUGGGGGUGAAAUUUGAAAAAAAGGUUAAAAUAAUUUAAGCAAUUAUAACAAAGGCGAUUUGAUGAACUUGCUGCAGCUUGGAACAACUGAUUGCACCGAUUUCAACCAUAACUACAGAUAACUAAUCAACCAGCAGCGUUUUUUGCUUCAAGCAUUCGAAUGACUUUGCCAAAAGCCAGUUUUCAACAAGCCAAAUUCGCAAAAAUCCUCUGCAAGAACGAGACGCAAAUAAAGAGAGCUAAAUUAUUGAAAUUCAACAUCUUUUUCGAAAGAAUGUACCAUAUCACGUUACACUAGUGUGAAAAAGGUGACUGACGCGGAUUCAAUCGACCAGAAACAACUGAAGAGCUGGAAAUUCUGACACGUGAAAAGGCAGAAUGAGUCGUUGUUCGAAUAAUAGGUUAAUUAGGGUGUUAAUUUUUCGAAAUUUUACUCUGUAAAUUGCACAUAAAUUUCUCUCUUUGAACACUUUGUUCUCCUCUUUCUAUCUCUUUUGAUAUCUCUUUGCAUGUCAGUUUGACACUUAAAACCACACAAAUAAGUCAUUUGCUGAUGAUGGCAACAGUGAUGCCUGAUUUUAUGAUAGUUUUAGCUGAAAUAAAAUAUCAAACCGUAACUUUUUCAUUGGUUAAAAAAAUGUUUUGUUUUGUUUGGAAUCUGGCAUCGGAUUUGAAUGACAAAAAAUCAAGAUUCCCUCAGAACCAAACAAGAAGAAGUUCUCAGAAUCAACCAACCAACCAUAGCAAAAAAAAAAGUGAAAAUUCAAAAGAGAAAGUGAAUCAAAAAACCAUGAAGAUGAAAACAAUUCAAAUCGUCACC